This 1017-nucleotide ribosomal RNA is filed under the name uncultured organism. Its description in RNAcentral is "bacterial SSU rRNA". It matches the Rfam family "Bacterial small subunit ribosomal RNA", at positions 356 to 1376 of the family's 1533-position model. The record is from RNAcentral.
GAGGAAUAUUGGUCAAUGGACGAGAGUCUGAACCAGCCAAGUAGCGUGAAGGAUGACUGCCCUAUGGGUUGUAAACUUCUUUUAUAUGGGAAUAAAGUGAGCCACGUGUGGCUUUUUGUAUGUACCAUACGAAUAAGGAUCGGCUAACUCCGUGCCAGCAGCCGCGGUAAUACGGAGGAUCCGAGCGUUAUCCGGAUUUAUUGGGUUUAAAGGGAGCGUAGGCGGACUAUUAAGUCAGCUGUGAAAGUUUGCGGCUCAACCGUAAAAUUGCAGUUGAUACUGGUCGUCUUGAGUGCAGUAGAGGUAGGCGGAAUUCGUGGUGUAGCGGUGAAAUGCUUAGAUAUCACGAAGAACUCCGAUUGCGAAGGCAGCUUACUGGACUGUAACUGACGCUGAUGCUCGAAAGUGUGGGUAUCAAACAGGAUUAGAUACCCUGGUAGUCCACACAGUAAACGAUGAAUACUCGCUGUUUGCGAUAUACGGCAAGCGGCCAAGCGAAAGCAUUAAGUAUUCCACCUGGGGAGUACGCCGGCAACGGUGAAACUCAAAGGAAUUGACGGGGGCCCGCACAAGCGGAGGAACAUGUGGUUUAAUUCGAUGAUACGCGAGGAACCUUACCCGGGCUUAAAUUGCAAAUGAAUAUAGUGGAAACAUUAUAGCCGCAAGGCAUUUGUGAAGGUGCUGCAUGGUUGUCGUCAGCUCGUGCCGUGAGGUGUCGGCUUAAGUGCCAUAACGAGCGCAACCCUUAUCUUUAGUUACUAACAGGUUAUGCUGAGGACUCUAGAGAGACUGCCGUCGUAAGAUGUGAGGAAGGUGGGGAUGACGUCAAAUCAGCACGGCCCUUACGUCCGGGGCUACACACGUGUUACAAUGGGGGGUACAGAAGGCAGCUACACAGCGAUGUGAUGCUAAUCCCAAAAGCCUCUCUCAGUUCGGAUUGGAGUCUGCAACCCGACUCCAUGAAGCUGGAUUCGCUAGUAAUCGCGCAUCAGCCACGGCGCGGUGAAUACGUUCCCG